GGCCUGUGAUGAUCUUUACUUUUCUGACACCUCGUAUGAGAGCUGUUCACAGCUUCUGAUUCGAUUGCUUUGUCUGAGGCCU
This 82-nucleotide small nucleolar RNA is filed under the name Neogobius melanostomus (round goby). RNAcentral describes it as "Small nucleolar RNA SNORD60 (ENSNMLG00000013996.1)". It matches the Rfam family "Small nucleolar RNA SNORD60". From Rfam's summary of the family: U60 belongs to the C/D class of snoRNA which contain the C (UGAUGA) and D (CUGA) box motifs. Most of the members of the box C/D family function in directing site-specific 2'-O-methylation of substrate RNAs. The record is from Rfam by way of RNAcentral. Lineage: Eukaryota; Metazoa; Chordata; Actinopteri; Gobiiformes; Gobiidae.